Mirounga angustirostris (Northern elephant seal) is the source of this 2770-nucleotide RNA transcript. It is a transcript of the gene named glucose-6-phosphate dehydrogenase, with no coding region annotated. The record is from RefSeq and is a predicted model, not a curated record. Lineage: Eukaryota; Metazoa; Chordata; Mammalia; Carnivora; Phocidae. The transcript has 14 exons.
GGCGUGGCCACACUGCCGGCGGAAGUGGAGCCCUCCGCGAGGGCGCACGGCCGCCCGGGACGGGCGAGAAAACUGGACUGUAGGGUUGGGCCGAGCCAGCAAUGGGUACGCGGGCGAACGGUGCAAAGCUGUACGCGGACUCGCGAGGCACCGAGAACGCAGCGCAGCGGCGGUGGGGAGAGAAGGCGCCCGGCAGCCGGGCUGCCCGCGCAGAGAGCAUCAUGGCAGAACAGGUGGCCCUGAGCCGGACCCAGGUGUGCGGAAUCCUGCGGGAAGAGCUGUACCAGGGCAAUGCCUUCCAUCAAUCUGAUACACAUAUCUUCAUCAUCAUGGGUGCAUCGGGCGACCUGGCCAAGAAGAAGAUCUACCCCACCAUCUGGUGGCUGUUCCGGGAUGGCCUUCUGCCCGAAGACACCUUCAUCGUGGGCUACGCCCGCUCCCGCCUCACAGUGGCCGACAUCCGGAAACAGAGCGAGCCCUUCUUCAAAGCCACACCAGAGGAGAAGCCCAAGCUGGAGGAGUUCUUUGCCCGCAACUCCUAUGUGGCUGGCCAGUAUGACGACACGGCCUCCUACGAGCGCCUCAACAGCCACAUGAAUGCCCUCCACCAGGGGCCCCAGGCCAACCGCCUCUUUUACCUGGCCUUGCCCCCCACAGUCUAUGAGGCAGUCACCAAGAACAUCCACGAGACCUGCAUGAGCCAGACAGGCUGGAACCGUGUCAUUGUGGAGAAGCCCUUCGGGAGGGACCUGCAGAGCUCCGACAGGCUGUCCAACCAUAUCUCCUCCUUGUUCCGCGAGGACCAGAUCUACCGCAUCGACCACUACCUGGGCAAGGAGAUGGUCCAGAACCUCAUGGUGCUGAGGUUUGCCAACAGGAUCUUUGGCCCCAUCUGGAACCGGGACAACAUCGCCUGCAUCAUCCUCACUUUCAAGGAGCCCUUUGGCACUGAGGGCCGUGGGGGCUACUUUGAUGAAUUUGGGAUCAUCCGGGACGUGAUGCAGAACCACCUCCUGCAGAUGCUGUGUCUGGUGGCCAUGGAGAAGCCUGCCUCCACGGACUCCGAUGACGUCCGUGAUGAGAAGGUCAAGGUGUUAAAAUGUAUCUCAGAGGUGCAAGCAGACAACGUGGUCCUGGGCCAGUAUGUCGGGAACCCCAACGGAGAGGGGGAGUCCACCAAAGGGUACUUGGAUGACCCCACCGUGCCCCGCGGGUCCACCACUGCGACCUUUGCAGCCGUUGUCCUUUAUGUGGAGAACGAGAGGUGGGACGGGGUGCCGUUCAUCCUGCGCUGCGGCAAAGCGCUCAACGAGCGCAAGGCUGAGGUGCGUCUGCAGUUCCGCGACGUGGCCGGCGACAUCUUCCAGCAGCAAUGCAAGCGCAACGAGCUGGUGAUCCGCGUGCAGCCCAACGAGGCCGUGUACACCAAGAUGAUGACCAAGAAGCCCGGCAUGUUCUUCAACCCUGAGGAGUCCGAGCUGGACCUGACCUACGGCAACAGAUACAAGAACGUGAAGCUCCCCGAUGCGUACGAGCGCCUCAUCCUGGACGUCUUCUGUGGGAACCAGAUGCACUUUGUGCGCAGUGACGAGCUCCGGGAAGCCUGGCGGAUCUUUACACCGUUGUUGCACAAGAUUGAGCGCGAGAAGCUCCAGCCCAUCCCUUAUGUUUAUGGCAGCGUCUACACUGAGAGAAGCAAAUGAGAGAGCUGUUGAGGACUCCAGUGGCACCUCAGCUAUGGCACAGGUAAGAGCACCCAGAGGAGACAUUCUGUGCUACGUCACGCCCCUUGCCUGCACUGGGGCAGGAGGAGACAUGAGGGCCUAGGACAUGAGAGUGUAAUCCUCUCUAUGUCCUGACUGAAAAGCAGUCCCAGAGGAAAUAAGGGAGUUGUGCAAGGCUGCCCCAGAAGGCCCAGAAGAUCUGGAAUUGGAUCCCAUCACUUAGGUGGUGCCUGUGGGGAUGGUGGAUGUGCCUCUGGACCCUCAGGGGGACUCAUUAAACCAAACUUUCUGAAAUGCCUGCUCUGAGCAAGAUGUAAACACUUGUCUCUGAGCUACCAGUCUGGCAGGUGCCCCAUGCCUGGCUGGCCGCCCAAGAGUGUGGGUAGCCAGGAGCUCCCUCCACUGGGCACAACUACAAGCAUUGCAGGAAAGACCCGUCGUACCCAGGGUUCCCUACUCACAGAUCUGUACGUUUGACGGAUGGUCAGCAUUAUCUCUGAUCCCAAGUUCAUGAAAAAGAAAAAAAAAAAAAUACUAAUCCCCGACUGCAGCAGCAGGGGCCUGAAACUGACUACCUUGAUCUUGUAUGUUGUGUAUACCAACGGAGAAGCUACUGGAUUCUAGCCAGAGCUGUCACUGCCUGGCACUACAAGCUUUAUCUAUUUUGGAUUCUUUCCUUAGGAAGGUUCCCGUAAGUGGGAUGAUUGGGUCAGAGGGCACAGAUGCUUCCUGGGCUCUCAGGCCGCCGGGCUGCUGCCCUGCAGGGAGCGAGGCGGGUGCCGCUCUGCUGGUGCGUUGGGCGGUGUCACGGCUGCCUUCCCGCCUCGGGAGGGCAGGAGGGGCGCGGGCAGGAGCUCGCCGCCGUCGGCGACACGCGAGACCGUGUGGACGUGCUUCCGUCUAGAGAACAGUAUCCAUCCGCUUCGCCCAGGCUUCAGGAAUCCGACUGCAGGCCACGAGCUCAACCGCAGCCCUCGAAGCCUAGGAAGGCUGGCAUCUCCCACCUUGGAGGAGCCUGAGGGGAGACUUGUGCUUCAAAGCCGACG